This 386-nucleotide ribosomal RNA is filed under the name uncultured bacterium. RNAcentral describes it as "bacterial SSU rRNA". It matches the Rfam family "Bacterial small subunit ribosomal RNA", at positions 29 to 440 of the family's 1533-position model. The record is from RNAcentral.
AGCGAACGCUGGCGGCAGGCUUAACACAUGCAAGUCGAGCGGAUGUAGCAAUACAUCAGCGGCAGACGGGAGAGUAACACGUGGGAACGUACCUUUCAGUUCGGAACAACCCAGGGAAACUUGGGCUAAUACCGGAUACGCCCGUAAGGGGAAAGAUUUAUCGCUGAAAGAUCGGCCCGCGUCUGAUUAGCUAGUUGGUGAGGUAACGGCUCACCAAGGCGACGAUCAGUAGCUGGUCUGAGAGGAUGAUCAGCCUCAUUGGGACUGAGACACGGCCCAAACUCCUACGGGAGGCAGCAGUGGGGAAUAUUGGACAAUGGGCGCAAGCCUGAUCCAGCCAUGCCGCGUGGGUGAUGAAGGCCCUAGGGUUGUAAAAUUCUUUCACC